CAACACUACAAGCAAAAAAUCGCACGAUGAUCAACUACCAUACAGCAACACAGCACGCAAACGGGGACAUUUAGCACAACGGUCUAUAACUUCCAACAGCACUUCAAGCAAGAAAACAAAUGAGAUAAUUCAGCAAAAAGAUCUGCAGCCUUAGGACGUUGACAACUACCCUGGGUACCAGAGGCUCCGAGCUUCGCGGCGACAACGAUUUGAGCGAAGCGAAACUAACACACUACAAGGCCAGAGCAGCAGAGGAUUUAAUUCGCUUAGAACAAUGGAGACUUUAUCUCGUGGGAUGAGCAACUCAUCGGCAAUACAUCAUGUGGAGGGAAUGUUCAUCGCAAUCCCGAUUAAACAAGACAAAGAUAAAGCAGGAAACUACAAUGGUUAAAAAACCUAUAAAUCGAUUCUGACCGAGUACUGUUAGCAGGGUUUGUAUUACUUCGCGGCCACCCAAAAAUAAAUUCUAGACAUCCAAAAGACAGGAGAGUCGAUUUCAUGACUCUCAUGAGUUUACUUGCAGCUGGUUUCGAAAAACAGACUUUGAUCACUCGGGCGUCUUAAGUUUGUCUUAUUAUUUUAUUUUCAAAACCAUAUUUGCUUACUAUUUCAUCGAUACUGUCAUAUUGAAUUGUAUACACAAUUCUUUAUAAGAAGAAAGACUAAAUAAUGAGAAUGCACAAUCGAUAAGCUAAAGUGUGCUUUUAAAAUCACACACUUGUGUAUGACGUCCACGUUCACGGAAGAGUUUGUAUACUUUAAUGUUGCGCUGUGUUGGAAGAUGUUGCUUUGCUGUUUGUAUACUAUAAUGUUGCGGUGUGUUGGAAGAUGUAGCUUUGCUGUUUGUAUACUUUUAAUGUUGCGCUGUGUUGGAAGAUGUUGCUUUGGCUUUGUAUACUAUAAUGUUGCGCUGUGUUGGAAGAUGUUGCUUUGCUCUAAUUUAUUAGAGCCCGCAGCUCCAAGCCAAUGAGAGCGCGAGUAAAUUGUAGCGAGCCAAUCAAAAGGAAGCAGAAAAUUCCAAUAAAAUUCAUUCAAACCGCUCGUCGCAUCGCUUGCCGUCUGGUUGUGUUUUGACAAAUACAAAGCACUACAGGAAAACAUGGCUGAGCACGACUCACAAUCUUCUCAACUCGAUGAGGAGGAGCUUAAAAUAAUGAAAGAAGAUUCUGUUCCCAAAAAUACUAAAAAAAAACACCCUGGGCGAUGAAAAAGUUCACCGAGUGGUGCACGAAGCGAAGUGUUGAAUGUGAUUUUCACAGCAUCAGCUCCUUGGAUCUUGGAGGCAUUUUAUAUCGUUUCUAUGCUGACCAAAGUAUAUUCAAAGGGAAAAAAUGAUUGAAUAAAAUCCCGAAAUCUUGACUUCAUAUUCUGUGGAUAAAAAAUCCGAAUACGAAAUUUUCGCCACCGACUUUUUUUGCGAUUUGUUUCUUUGUUCUCGGGUUGCUCUGGGUUCCGACUCCUACUCCGUCUCCUAAAUAUUAAUUUUCAACUGUGGUGUGAAAUUUACGACUGGUCAAGAUCCAAUGGUAAAAAAAAUUACAAGUGAGUGAAUAAAAGAUUGAUGAACGAAUAAAUGAAAGUGUUCCAUUAUCAAACGAUAAAACGCAACCAGCCGCCCUUAAUAGCUUACAGGACACAGCUAGCCCCUAUUAUUUUAGUGAGAGCAUUUAAGAGCUGCUUCGGAAACGGAACUGACUUCCUGUAAGUGGUGGUUUCAUUGACGAGCGAGUGUAACGCAUGUUAUUAUUCAGAAAAAAUAGUGAAUGAUUAACCAAAUGAAGAACGACGGAAAAUGGUUAAUAAUUCACUGUCACUCACCAGUAGAAUAAAAACAGUUAAAUUAAUUUAAAAAAAGAAACAUUUACAAU
This is a long non-coding RNA of Nematostella vectensis (starlet sea anemone), 1868 nucleotides long. RefSeq lists it as uncharacterized. The record is from RefSeq and is a predicted model, not a curated record. The transcript has 2 exons. Lineage: Eukaryota; Metazoa; Cnidaria; Anthozoa; Actiniaria; Edwardsiidae.